UACGUAGGGUGCGAGCGUUGUCCGGAAUUAUUGGGCGUAAAGAGCUCGUAGGCGGUUUCUUAAGUCUGAUGUGAAAGCCCACGGCUCAACCGUGGAGGGUCAUUGGAAACUGGGGAACUUGAGUGCAGAAGAGAAAAGCGGAAUUCCACGUGUAGCGGUGAAAUGCGUAGAGAUGUGGAGGAACACCAGUGGCGAAGGCGGCUUUUUGGUCUGUAACUGACGCUGAGGCGCGAAAGCGUGGGGAGCAAACAGG
RNAcentral lists this ribosomal RNA (253 nucleotides) under uncultured bacterium. Its description in RNAcentral is "partial 16S ribosomal RNA". It matches the Rfam family "Bacterial small subunit ribosomal RNA", at positions 524 to 776 of the family's 1533-position model. The record is from RNAcentral.